This 428-nucleotide ribosomal RNA is filed under the name uncultured bacterium. RNAcentral describes it as "bacterial SSU rRNA". It matches the Rfam family "Bacterial small subunit ribosomal RNA", at positions 354 to 796 of the family's 1533-position model. The record is from RNAcentral.
GUAGGGAAUAUUGCGCAAUGGACGAAAGUCUGACGCAGCGACGCCGCGUGAGUGAUGAAGGCCUUAGGGUCGUAAAGCUCUGUUGAAUGGGAAGAAAAAAAUGACGGUACCAUUCGAGGAAGGACCGGCUAACUUCGUGCCAGCAGCCGCGGUAAUACGAGGGGUCCUAGCGUUGUUCGGAAUCAUUGGGCGUAAAGGGUGUGUAGGUGGCCAUGUAAGUCAGGUGUGAAAGCCCCGGGCUCAACCCGGGAAGUGCACUUGAUACUGCGUGGCUUGAGUACCGAAGAGGGUAGUGGAAUUCCAGGUGUAGUGGUGAAAUACGUAGAUAUCUGGAGGAACACCGGUGGCGAAGGCGGCUACCUGGUCGAGUACUGACACUGAGACACGAAAGCAUGGGGAUCAAACAGGAUUAGAUACCCCAGUAGUCC